GACGAACCGUCCAAACGUUAUUCGGAAUCACUGGGCUUAAAGGGUGCGUAGGCUGUGCGGUAAGUUAGGUGUGAAAGCCCUCGGCUCAACCGAGGAACUGCGCUUAAUACUGCCGUACUAGAGGGAGACAGGGGUAAGCGGAACUGAUGGUGGAGCGGUGAAAUGCGUUGAUAUCAUCAGGAACACCGGUGGCGUAAGCGGCUUACUGGGUCUCUUCUGACGCUGAUGCACGAAAGCUAGGGUAGCGAACGGG
This 253-nucleotide unclassified non-coding RNA is filed under the name Thermoactinomycetaceae bacterium. Its description in RNAcentral is "partial 16S ribosomal RNA". It matches the Rfam family "Bacterial small subunit ribosomal RNA", at positions 524 to 776 of the family's 1533-position model. RNAcentral also lists the same sequence under 1 other name. The record is from RNAcentral. Lineage: Bacteria; Bacillati; Bacillota; Bacilli; Caryophanales; Thermoactinomycetaceae.